UAGGGAAUCUUCCGCAAUGGGCGAAAGCCUGACGGAGCAACGCCGCGUGAGUGAUGAAGGUCUUCGGAUCGUAAAAUUCUGUUAUUAGGGAAGAACAAAUGUGUAAGUAACUAUGCACGUCUUGACGGUACCUAAUCAGAAAGCCACGGCUAACUACGUGCCAGCAGCCGCGGUAAUACGUAGGUGGCAAGCGUUAUCCGGAAUUAUUGGGCGUAAAGCGCGCGUAGGCGGUUUUUUAAGUCUGAUGGGAAAGCCCACGGCUCAACCGUGGAGGGUCAUUGGAAGCUGGAAAACUUGAGUGCAGAAGAGGAAAGUGGAAUUCCAUGUGGAGCGGUGAAAUGCGGAGAGAUAUGGAGGAACACCAGUGGCGAAGGCGACUUUCUGGUCUGUAACUGACGCUGAUGAGCGAAAGCGUGGGGAUCAAACAGG
RNAcentral lists this ribosomal RNA (429 nucleotides) under Actinomycetes bacterium. RNAcentral describes it as "Actinobacteria bacterium partial 16S ribosomal RNA". It matches the Rfam family "Bacterial small subunit ribosomal RNA", at positions 355 to 776 of the family's 1533-position model. Lineage: Bacteria; Bacillati; Actinomycetota; Actinomycetes. The record is from RNAcentral.